Molecule: unclassified non-coding RNA, 336 nt
Filed under: plant metagenome
Description: partial contains 5.8S ribosomal RNA, internal transcribed spacer 2, and large subunit ribosomal RNA
Rfam family: 5.8S ribosomal RNA (bases 1-105)
Source: RNAcentral
UAGAUCCGUUAAUCGGUGCUAAACGCGACAUGCUAUACACCGGUUUUCGAACGCACAUUGCAGCCUUGGGUGUCAAAGCCUAAGGCUUUGUCUGUCUGAGUGUCGGUUAAUUUAUUAAUCGUAUUAACAUGUUUGUUCGAGUUAUCACAACUCGUCAAGCGUUGGACUGCAUGACGUAUAGUACUUUUCAUGUAGUGUAACACACUGUAACACAUCCACUUGUGUGAAAUGUGUUCACUUCUAAGUACACCGUCUUGCUAUAGAUGAUGUGACACAGUCACCAUCCUUCCACACCCACGACCUCAGAUCAGGCAAGAUUACCCGCUUAACUUAAGC